GAUGAACGCUGGCGGCGUGCCUAAUACAUGCAAGUAGAACGCUGAAGGAAGGAGCUUGCUCUUUCCGGAUGAGUUGCGAACGGGUGAGUAACGCGUAGGUAACCUGCCUGGUAGCGGGGGAUAACUAUUGGAAACGAUAGCUAAUACCGCAUAACAGUAGAUGUUGCAUGAUAUCUACUUAAAAGGUGCAAUUGCACCACUACCAGAUGGACCUGCGUUGUAUUAGCUAGUUGGUGAGGUAACGGCUCACCAAGGCGACGAUACAUAGCCGACCUGAGAGGGUGAUCGGCCACACUGGGACUGAGACACGGCCCAGACUCCUACGGGAGGCAGCAGUAGGGAAUCUUCGGCAAUGGACGGAAGUCUGACCGAGCAACGCCGCGUGAGUGAAGAAGGGUUUCGGAUCGUAAGGCUCUGUUGUAAGAGAAGAACGAGUGUGAGAGUGGAAAGUUCACACUGUGACGGUAUCUUACCAGAAAGGGACGGCUAACUACGUG
RNAcentral lists this ribosomal RNA (497 nucleotides) under uncultured bacterium. RNAcentral's name for it is "partial 16S ribosomal RNA". It matches the Rfam family "Bacterial small subunit ribosomal RNA", at positions 28 to 507 of the family's 1533-position model. The record is from RNAcentral.